UACGUGAGGGGCGAACGUUGUUCGGAGUCACUGGGCUUAAAGGGUGCGUAGGUGGUUGCGUAAGUAAGGUGUGAAAGCCCUCGGCUUACCCGGGGAAUUGCGCCUUAUACUGCGUGGCUUGAGGAUUUCAGGGGAAUGGGGAACUCCAGGUGUAGCGGUGAAAUGCGCAGAUAUCUGGGGGAAGGCCGGCGGCGAAGGCGCCAUUCUGGGAAAUUCCUGACACUGAGGCACGAAAGCGUGGGGAGCAAACAGG
RNAcentral lists this ribosomal RNA (253 nucleotides) under uncultured bacterium. RNAcentral describes it as "partial 16S ribosomal RNA". It matches the Rfam family "Bacterial small subunit ribosomal RNA", at positions 524 to 776 of the family's 1533-position model. The record is from RNAcentral.